ACGCAGCAGGCAUGCAGAGCAACGACACCGUUGCUCAUACCUGUACCGGACAAGUUUCGACGUUCUGUGGAGUUUUUGAGGGCUUUAUACAACGUGUAACACAUAGAGAUGUCAGAAGCAUAAAUGACAUGAUGGCUAGGACAUAUAGCUGGGGGAGAAUGGAUUGGUUGUCCAGAGCCCAGAUGUGCAAAAAUUAAAGAAAGAUGGCCUGCCCAGAUAAACGAAGAAUUCCAAAGGUGUACUGGUGUUCCACAAGAAUCGGUUUUUAUUUCCCAGCUGGACAAAUACACUCCAAAACUUCUUGACCUGUUUAGUGCGAAGGGUGCAGCGACUGGUGAAAACAUCAAUUGGAGUUAUUGGAACUGAUACAGGAUUCAAGUACCUCUGUGGUGAGGAACAGAGACGUGGCUCUGAGAUGCCUCAUUGAAUACAUGGGAGAGAGUGGGCAAAAGCUGAUCUCUGACUACUAUGGAAAAACAGAGAGCAGUGUCUAUGAAGACUUGGAAAUGCGCAAUAUGCAGAUAUAUGUCUGCCGUGUUCCAGAUGUUGUGGGCAUCAUCAUUGAGGGCAUCCCUGUGCUUACUCGUCUUGGAAACCACGCCAGGGCUAUGAACUUGCAGUAUCCACCACAACUCAGCAAAACAUUUCAGGUGUUUCAAAGACAUUUUGUGGGACUUGACACACUGCGUCCAAAGUCUUCCUCCUGAUUCAUGACACAAAAACUUCUGAAUUAGUUAAUUAGUUGCCGCUCAGAGGUUCUGUUUCUUUGCUUCAUCACUUUUGUUCAAUGGACAGUUUGACUUGGAACAAUGUGGUAGUCACGCACCGACUUCUUCAGUUUCUGGAUAAGUCUGCAGCAAAUAUGGGCAUUUGAUUUGCUUUUGUAUAUAUGGGGCAAAGUUUGUUUUGUUAUGUCAAAUGCUGAGAUCAGAGGCACUUAAUUUUUUUUAUUUCAAUGUUGUAGUACAUAUGAAAAUGUACUGUACUGUGUACACAACAGGCAUCAGUUGGACACCUCAAACCCCCAUGAGGAUCCACACACACACACAAACACACACACACACACACACACGCUCAGUUUUAAUGGGUAAAGUUUAAUAGGGAUACAGCUGCAGAUACUCGCAUCAUUCAUUCAUUUUCCUUCAGCUUAGUCCUUCAUUUAUCAGGAGUUGCCACAGCGAAAUGAGCCAUCAACUACUCUGGCAUAUGUUUUACACAGUGGAUGCCCUUCCAGCUGCAACCCAGUACUGGGAGACACCCAUACACACUUAUAUACUAUGGCCAAUUUAGUUCAUCAAUUCCCCUAUCGCACCUGGAGGAAACCCAUGCCAACAUGGGGAGAACGUGCAAACUCCAAACAGAAACACCAACUGACCCAGCCGGGACUCAAACCAGCAACCUUCCAGGGCCACAAUGCUAACCACUGAGCCUACUUGCAUAAAUAUAGCAUCAUUUUUGUGACAUUGUUCAACAAUUAUAUGUAUAUAUUUACCGUACUGUGAGGGUUGGGCUUAAGUUUGGGGUAGACCUUAAUAAAAUACUGUUUACUGGGUAAUUUAAUAAAUGAUACGAGUAUAUUACUGCUUUUACACUGUGAAGGUUGGGGUAGAUGUUAAUAAAAUGUAUUUCAUUCA
Molecule: non-coding RNA, 1634 nt
Organism: Danio rerio (zebrafish)
Lineage: Eukaryota; Metazoa; Chordata; Actinopteri; Cypriniformes; Danionidae
Source: Ensembl